Molecule: ribosomal RNA, 945 nt
Filed under: uncultured archaeon
Lineage: Archaea
Description: bacterial SSU rRNA
Rfam family: Archaeal small subunit ribosomal RNA
Source: RNAcentral
GGCCGCGGGAAUUCGAUUUCUGGUUGAUCCUGCCAGACCCGACUGCUAUCAGAGUGGGACUAAGCCAUGCGAGUCAACGUAGCAAUGCGUGGCGAACGGCUCAGUAACACGUAGUCAACAUGCCCAGGGGACGUGGAUAACCUCGGGAAACUGAGAUUAAACCGCGAUAGGUCAAGAUUUCUGGAAUGGAUCGUGUCUUAAAUCUACAUGGCCCCUGGAUUGGACUGCGGCCGAUCAGGCUGUUGGUGAGGUAAUGGCCCACCAAACCUAUAACCGGUACGGGCUCUGAGAGGAGAAGCCCGGAGAUGGGCACUGAGACAAGGGCCCAGGCCCUAUGGGGCGCAGCAGGCGCGAAACCUCUGCAAUGGGCGAAAGCCUGACAGGGUUACUCUGAGUGAUUUCCGCUAAGGAGAUCUUUUGGCAGCUCUAAAAAUGGUGCAGAAUAAGGGGUGGGCAAGUCUGGUGUCAGCCGCCGCGGUAAUACCAGCACCCCGAGUGGUCGGGACGAUUAUUGGGCCUAAAGCAUCCGUAGCCGGUUGUGCAAGUCCUCCGUUAAAUCCAGCCGCUCAACGGAUGGGCUGCGGAGGAUACUACAGGACUAGGAGGCGGGAGAGGCAAGCGGUACUUAGUGGGUAGGGGUAAAAUCCUUUGAUCCAUUGAAGACCACCAGUGGCGAAGGCGGCUUGCCAGAACGCGCUCGACGGUGAGGGAUGAAAGCUGGGGGAGCAAACCGGAUUAGAUACCCGGGUAGUCCCAGCUGUAAACGAUGCAGACUCGGUGAUGGGCUAGCCUCGUGUCAGCCCAGUGCCGCAGGGAAGCCGUUAAGUCUGCCGCCUGGGGAGUACGGUCGCAAGACUGAAACUUAAAGGAAUUGGCGGGGGAGCACCACAAGGGGUGAAGCCUGCGGUUCAAUUGGAUUCAACGCCGGAAAUCACUAGUGAAUUC